AUUGAACGCUGGCGGCAUGCUUUACACAUGCAAGUCGAACGGUAACAGGCCGCAAGGUGCUGACGAGUGGCGAACGGGUGAGUAAUGCAUCGGAACGUGCCCAGUCGUGGGGGAUAACGCAGCGAAAGUUGCGCUAAUACCGCAUACGAUCUAUGGAUGAAAGCGGGGGACCGUAAGGCCUCGCGCGAUUGGAGCGGCCGAUGUCAGAUUAGGUAGUUGGUGGGGUAAAGGCUCACCAAGCCGACGAUCUGUAGCUGGUCGGAGAGGACGACCAGCCACACUGGGACUGAGACACGGCCCAGACUCCUACGGGAGGCAGCAGUGGGGAAUUUUGGACAAUGGGCGCAAGCCUGAUCCAGCAAUGCCGCGUGCAGGAAGAAGGCCUUCGGGUUGUAAACUGCUUUUGUACGGAACGAAACGGUCCUGGUUAAUACCCGGGGCUAAUGACGGUACCGUAAGAAUAAGCACCGGCUAACUACGUGCCAGCCACCGCAGUAA
This 498-nucleotide ribosomal RNA is filed under the name uncultured bacterium. RNAcentral describes it as "partial 16S ribosomal RNA". It matches the Rfam family "Bacterial small subunit ribosomal RNA", at positions 29 to 523 of the family's 1533-position model. The record is from RNAcentral.